RNAcentral lists this long non-coding RNA (1558 nucleotides) under Homo sapiens (human). RNAcentral describes it as "non-protein coding lnc-MRPS33-4:1". Lineage: Eukaryota; Metazoa; Chordata; Mammalia; Primates; Hominidae. The record is from RNAcentral.
GUAAAGAUGUUGUUUGGACCAUGGAGCAGGGCACCCACCAGGGCUGCCAGCUGCUGUGUGAAAGGUGCCUGUCAGGGAUAUGACAAGCAGGCUGAGAUCUGGUUCAGCAACAUCACAGCCAAAGCUGUUGCUGAUGCUAUUAAAACAAGCCUUGGACCAAAAGGAAUGGGAAAAAAGAUUUAAGGUGGAAAAGGCAAUGUGAUCACUACAAAUGAUGGUGCCACCAUUCUGAAACAAAUGCAAGUGUCACAUCCAGCAGCAGAAUGCUGGGGGGGCUAAGAUAUAGAAGCAGGAGAUAGCACUGCAUCAGUUGGCACUAUUGCUGGCUCUCUCAUAGGUUCCUGGGCCAAGCUUCUUCAGAAAGGGAUUCAUCCAACCAUCACUUCCAAGUCAUCCCAGAAGUCUUUGGAAAAGGGUAUUGAGAUCUUAAGUAACAUAUCUCAACCUGUGGAACUGAAUGACAGAGAAACUUUGUUAAACAGUGCCACCAGUUCUUUGAACUCACAGGUUGUCUUUCAGUAUUCAAGUUCUGCUUCCUCCGACGAGUGUAAAUGCAGUGAUGAAAGUGACCCAGCUACAGGUACUACUGUAAAUCUUAGAGAUAUUAACAUACAGUCAUAAACUUGGUGGAAAAAUUGAUGACUGUGAGUUGGUGGAAGGUCUUAUUCUCACCCAGAAAGUGGUAAAUUCUGGCAUAACCCAAUUUGAAAAGGCUAAGAUUGGGCACAUUCAGUUUUGCUUAUCUGCUCCCAACAGAUUUGGAAAUCAAGUAGCAGUUUCUGACAAUGUUCAGAUGGACUAAAUGCUAUGAGAGAGAGAGCCUAUAUUUUAAGUUUAGUAUAGCAAACUUUUACAAAUGGGAUAUAAUGUCCUUCUCAUACAGGACACUUUAGAGACGCUCCUAGUGAUCUUGCAUGACAUUUCCUGAACAAAAUUAUUAUGUUGGUUAAGAAUAUUGAAAAAGAAGAUGUUGAAUUCAUUUGUAAGACAAUUGGAACCAAGCCAGUUGCUCGUACUGACCAAGUCACACUGACAUGCUGGGUUUUGCUGAGUUAGCUGAGAAGGUCAGUUUAAAUGGUUCUGGAAAACUGCUCAAGACUACAGGCUGUACAAGUGCUGGAAAAACAGUUAAAAUUGUCAUAGGACUGAAGAAUUGAGCCUUCCAUUCACGAUGUGCUAUGUAUUAUUUGCUGUUUGGUGAAGAGAGCUCUUACUGCAGGAGGUGGUGCUCCAGUAGAAUUGGCCCUAUGGUUAACUGAAUGUUUGUGAACAUUGAGUGGUAUGGAAUUUUACAGUGUUCAUGUUUUGCAGAUGCUAUGGAGGUCAUUCCAACUACACUAGCUGAAAAUGCUGGCUUUGAAUCCCAUUUCUACAGUAACAGAACUAAGAAAUCAACAUGCCUAACAAGAAAAAAAUUGCAGGCAUUAGUAUCAAAAGGGCAGUAUUUCCAUUUUGGAAAACUGGUUGCCCAACUUUUGUGAUUUCAUUUAUUGCUCUGACCCUAGCAAAUGAAACUGUCCAGAGAAUUCUGAAAAUUGAUGCUGUGGUAAAUGCUCAG